CCUACGGGAGGCAGCAGUGAGGAAUCUUGGUCAAUGGGCGCGAGCCUGAAGCAGCCAAGUCGCGUGAGGGAAGACGGUCCUAUGGAUUGUAAACCUCUUUUGUCGGGGAGCAAAAGACGCCACGCGUGGCGUUCCGAGAGUACCCGAAGAAAAAGCAUCGGCUAACUACGUGCCAGCAGCCGCGGUAAUACGUAGGGGGCAAGCGUUAUCCGGAUUUACUGGGUGUAAAGGGAGCGUAGACGGCUGUGCAAGUCUGAAGUGAAAGCCCGUGGCUCAACCGCGGAACUGCUUUGGAAACUGUAUAGCUUGAGUACUGGAGAGGCAGGCGGAAUUCCUAGUGUAGCGGUGAAAUGCGUAGAUAUUAGGAGGAACACCAGUGGCGAAGGCGGCCUGCUGGACAGAAACUGACGUUGAGGCUCGAAAGCGUGGGGAGCAAACAGGAUUAGAUACCCUAGUAGUC
This 460-nucleotide ribosomal RNA is filed under the name uncultured bacterium. RNAcentral describes it as "partial 16S ribosomal RNA". It matches the Rfam family "Bacterial small subunit ribosomal RNA", at positions 338 to 795 of the family's 1533-position model. The record is from RNAcentral.